UCCGAGUUGACCCCGGCAGUCUCCUGCGAGUCCCCGCCAUUACGCGCUGGCAACACAGGACAAGGGUUGCGCUCGUUGCGGGACUUAACCCAACAUCUCACGACACGAGCUGACGACGGCCAUGCAGCACCUUGCUUUGUGUCCCGAAGGAAAGCCCCAUCUCUGGAGCGGUCACGCGCAUUCUAGCCUAGGUAAGGUUCCUCGCGUAUCAUCGAAUUAAACCACAUGCUCCGCCGCUUGUGCGGGCCCCCGUCAAUUCCUUUGAGUUUCACCCUUGCGGGCGUACUCCCCAGGUGGAUUACUUAACGCUUUCGCUAAGACGCCGACUGUUUAUCGCCGACGUCUAGCCCACAUCGUUUAUGGCGUGGACUAC
RNAcentral lists this unclassified non-coding RNA (373 nucleotides) under uncultured Bacteroidia bacterium. RNAcentral's name for it is "contains 16S-23S intergenic spacer region". The record is from RNAcentral. Lineage: Bacteria; Pseudomonadati; Bacteroidota; Bacteroidia.